This 26-nucleotide non-coding RNA is filed under the name Mus musculus (house mouse). The record is from RNAcentral. Lineage: Eukaryota; Metazoa; Chordata; Mammalia; Rodentia; Muridae.
UUGCUACUGUUUUCUCCUCAGGACAA